This is a non-coding RNA of Oncorhynchus mykiss (rainbow trout), 1283 nucleotides long. NCBI's taxonomy places the organism in Eukaryota, Metazoa, Chordata, Actinopteri, Salmoniformes, Salmonidae. The record is from RefSeq and is a predicted model, not a curated record.
AUGUCGAUCAAUGCUUGAAUAGAAACGUAGUUCACACCCUCGAUUUUGACGUCAACACAGUUGCUACAGUCCCAUUAGUUUUCUUUGUAGCCUCGUUUGAAUGUUGCGGUUGCGCACAUUUGUACGGAAUGGGGUGAGUUUACGCUACAACCAGGCCUGCCUUGAGAACAGACUUGAUUUACACUAAUGCGAUGCUCCGCGCCAAACGGUCUGUGAUGGAAGACUCGAGAAAAUAAGCUGUCUGUUCUACUCAAGCUAUUUUAUUUUGUAUUUUCGUGGAAAAGUCGUCUAAAUAUUUUUGAGCAGCUGUUAGUGUAGGCAUGGAGGGUCUUCAAGAUGCAAUUGAACACCAGUUGCCUGAGUUGGAGACCGAGAUGGUGAGAUCUUUGUUGGAGCAUCUCAGGGCAAAUGUUGGAGUGGAGAAUAUUAACACCCUUGAAUAUGUUCAGCUGGAGGACAUGAAAUACCAUUUGACGCCAAUACAGUGCCGGGAAUUGCUUCAGUCCUUCAACCAAAGAGGUUCCUGGUUCGAAUAAACCCUGAAGGAACCAAAUGCACAGCGAAAGCAGGAGUGAGCUGCAAAACUGGAAAGGUCGUUCAGAGGAAGCCAUUGCCAAUUGGCCAAAAUGUUACACGCUUUCUCACAGACCUGAAGGAGUUUGAGGGGAAAAACUACAACAUUUGACAUAUCAGAGCUAAGGAGGAUCGGAGUUUCAAAAAUUGGGGUGAUACCCUGCACGCCACUGAGAUUUAUUCGAGACUUGUUUGCAUCUCUCAUUCUCUCAGAAAUCCUGCCAUGUGGGUUGGGUCAGCAAAUGAUCUGCUUGCUCCAUCCCGGAGCCUGUGUUGGCUUGAGGUAGCAUGCUACUCUGGCUCCAGUGUAGCCCUGCUCUCUCCUCUCUAUCCAUCCUUCUCUCUCAGCCCUUUCCUCUCUCGAUCUCUCUCGUUUCUCUCUAAGACAGGUAGGCAAGCAGUUCUUGUUAUAAUUUUUUUGUAAAAAUGUCUCACUGUUCAACUGUUUCCCUAUUUUUCAUUGAUCUGUUUAGAUUUUAUUUUUUUCUUACAUAAUCCUGUAUUGUCAAGAAUGGCCUAUUCUGAUGUCUUGGUCUGUGUAUGGUGAAGUACAUUAUUGACCAGUAUUUGGCAAUGUUCUUAUCAUUGUAUCUCUCUCUCUGUCUCUCUCUCUCCCCUACUAUCUGGAGAUGUAAAUGUUGUUCUUUGUGGUUAAAGUGCAAUUCAUGUGAAAUUCAUGUUAUGAAUUUGAAUAAAUAUAUAUCUUUGUA